UACGGGAGGGGCAAGCGUUGUUCGGAAUUACUGGGCGUAAAGGGCUCGUAGGCGGCCCACUAAGUCCGACGUGAAAUCCCCAGGCUUAACUUGGGAACUGCGUCGGAUACUGGUGGGCUUGAAUCCGGGAGAGGGAUGCGGAAUUCCAGGUGUAGCGGUGAAAUGCGUAGAUAUCUGGAGGAACACCUGUGGCGAAAGCGGCGCACUGGACCAUAACUGACGCUGAUGCGCGAAAGCUAGGGGAGCAAACAGG
RNAcentral lists this ribosomal RNA (253 nucleotides) under uncultured bacterium. RNAcentral describes it as "partial 16S ribosomal RNA". It matches the Rfam family "Bacterial small subunit ribosomal RNA", at positions 524 to 776 of the family's 1533-position model. The record is from RNAcentral.